GAAUCUUGCGCAAUGGGCGAAAGCCCGACGCAGCCAUGCCGCGUGAAUGAUGAAGGUCCUAGGAUUGUAUAAUUCUUUUACCGGGGACGAUAAUGACGGUACCCGGAGAAGAAGUACCGGUCAACUUCGGGCCAGCAGCCGCGGUAAUAAGCAGGGGGCUAGCGUUGCUCGGAAUUAGUGGGCGUAAAGGACGAGUAGGCGGGUCGUUAAGUCAGAGGUGAAAGCCCGGAGCUCAACUUCGGAAUUGCCCUUGAUACUGGCGAUCUUGAGUGUGAGAGAGGUAUGUGGAACUCCGAGUGUAGAGGUGAAAUUCGUAGAUAUUCGGAAGAACACCAGUGGCGAAGGCGACAUACUGGCUCAUUACUGACGCUGAGGCGCGAAAGCGUGGGGAGCAAACA
This 398-nucleotide ribosomal RNA is filed under the name uncultured bacterium. Its description in RNAcentral is "partial 16S ribosomal RNA". It matches the Rfam family "Bacterial small subunit ribosomal RNA", at positions 359 to 774 of the family's 1533-position model. The record is from RNAcentral.